UCCGUGGCGCAAGCGGUUAGCGCUUUCGGCUGUUAACCGAAAGGUUAGUGGUUCAAGCCCACCUUGGA
RNAcentral lists this transfer RNA (68 nucleotides) under Nematostella vectensis (starlet sea anemone). It matches the Rfam family "tRNA". From Rfam's summary of the family: Transfer RNA (tRNA) molecules are approximately 80 nucleotides in length. Their secondary structure includes four short double-helical elements and three loops (D, anti-codon, and T loops). The record is from Rfam by way of RNAcentral. Lineage: Eukaryota; Metazoa; Cnidaria; Anthozoa; Actiniaria; Edwardsiidae.